GCACCUGUAGUGUAGGGGAAACACGGGACCUUGCCAUCUGCCAGCACAAAAGCUCCAAACCCAGGUUCGAAUCCAGGCUGGUCCA
This is a non-coding RNA of Geopyxis carbonaria, 85 nucleotides long. Lineage: Eukaryota; Fungi; Ascomycota; Pezizomycetes; Pezizales; Tarzettaceae. The record is from the annotation of a GenBank genome assembly.